CUGGACACCGGACACCUACCCAACCCUGUCCCCUACAGAUCUACCCAACCCUGUCCCCUGGACACCUACCCAACCUAUAAUAAAGGUCUGGGUCAGCCAAUAAAGGUCAGCCAUUAAAGGUCAGCCAAUAAAGGUCAGGGUCAGCCAUUAAAGGUCAGCCAAUAAAGGUCAGCCAAUAAAGGUCAGCCAAUAAAGGUCAGCCAUUAAAGGUCAGCCAAUAAAGGUCAGCCAAUAAAGGUCAGCCAAUAAAGGUCAGCCAAUAAAGGUCAGCCAUUAAAGGUCAGCCAAUAAAGGUCAGCCAAUAAAGGUCAGCCAUUAAAGGUCAGCCAAUAAAGGUCAGCCAUUAAAAGUCAGCCAAUAAAGGUCAGCCAAUAAAGGUCAGGGUCAGCCAUUAAAGGUCAGCCAUUAAAGGUCAGCCAUUAAAGGUCAGCCAUUCAAGGUCAGCCAAUGACUAAAUAGGAAAUAUGGUGGCAUUUGGAACUCAUACCCUAAAGUACAUGAACUAGCCGAUACAGUAUAUAUGAACAUUUAGAGAGAGAGAGAGAGAGACAGAGAGAGAGAGAGACAGAGAGAGCGAGAGAGAGAGACAGAGAGAGAGAGAGAGAGAGAGAGAGACAGAGAGAGAGAGAGAGAGAGACAGAGAGAGAGAGAGAGAGAGAGAGAGACAGAGAGAGA
RNAcentral lists this long non-coding RNA (675 nucleotides) under Salmo salar (Atlantic salmon). RNAcentral describes it as "lncRNA (ENSSSAG00000099773.1)". The record is from RNAcentral. Lineage: Eukaryota; Metazoa; Chordata; Actinopteri; Salmoniformes; Salmonidae.